AACGUAGGGGGCAAGCGUUACCCGGAUUCACUGGGCGUAAAGGGGGCGUAGGCGGCCGUGUAAGUCCGGUGUGAAAUGCCACGGCUCAACCGUGGAACUGCGCUGGAAACUACACGGCUUGAGGACGGUAGAGGGAGACGGAACUGCUGGUGUAGGGGUGAAAUCCGUAGAUAUCAGCAGGAACGCCGGUGGAGAAGUCGGUCUCCUGGGCCGUUCCUGACGCUGAGGCCCGAAAGCUAGGGGAGCAAACCGG
RNAcentral lists this ribosomal RNA (253 nucleotides) under uncultured microorganism. Its description in RNAcentral is "partial 16S ribosomal RNA". It matches the Rfam family "Bacterial small subunit ribosomal RNA", at positions 524 to 776 of the family's 1533-position model. The record is from RNAcentral.